UACUUGCUGAACAACAAGAAGGUGCCAACUGUUUUGCCAAAAGAUGUUUGUUCACCACAGAACGUAGAGACACUGCCCAAGCACCUCAUUCCACUAGAGAACUUUUGCACUGUAUGCCCAGGAAAGAUCCCUCUUUCAGAACCAAUCUUAAUUACACAAAAAAGCAAAGAUUGUCAUGUUCACUGGCAUACUGGAAGAUGUGACCACGUACUGUAAAAUGUGUGGGGUGUGUGGUCAUUUCUACCGGUACCAGGAAUGGACAGAGGGGCUGCAUAAUUUUGAUGACCACACAAUUCUAACACUGCAUCUUUGCCUGUUCUUGAGACAAUCUGUACAGAAUCACACUGCAGUUGGCAGGGCUUUGGACAUCUUGGAACAGACAAACCAAAAAAAAUAUCCAAACCAUGACUCCAUACUUCAUGGUUACCUUCACUUUGAGGCACUGACAGCGCAUGAUUACAAUUUUUCAUGUGUGCACUGUGGGGUCCAUCCACCUAUAGUAAUAAUGGACUUACACAAGAAGGGAGUUUUUAGUAUGCCAGUGAGUGAUAUUGAGGAUCCCCCUCCACAGUUUGAAGGUCACGUUGAUAUUGAAGAAUUCUGGCAAUCUGUUGACCAAGAAAUUAUUGCAGAGGCUUUUUAAAAAGUAA
Non-coding RNA from Paramisgurnus dabryanus, 650 nucleotides. The record is from RefSeq and is a predicted model, not a curated record. NCBI's taxonomy places the organism in Eukaryota, Metazoa, Chordata, Actinopteri, Cypriniformes, Cobitidae.